ACGAACGCUGGGCGGCGUGCCUAACGCAUGCAAGUCGAGCGGGGAUGGUAGCUGAAGGUGAUGAGCUGGAAGCUGCCAUCUUAGCGGCGGACGGGUGAGUAACACGUGAGCAACCUACCCCUCAGCACGGGGAUAACAGCUCGAAAGGGCUGCUAAUACCCGAUGGGACCACGUCAUUGCAUGGUGAUGUGGUGAAAGGGUGGACGUAAGGUCCAUGCCGGCUGGGGAUGGGCUCGCGGCCCAUCAGCUAGUUGGUGGGGUAACGGCCUACCAAGGCGACGACGGGUAGCCGGCCUGAGAGGGUGACCGGCCACAGUGGGACUGAGACACGGCCCACACUCCUACGGGAGGCAGCAGCGGGGAAACUUGCGCAAUGGGGCGAAAGCCUGACGCAGCGACGCCGCGUGAGGGGAAGGAGCCCUUCGGGGGUGUAAACCUCUUUGGACGGGGAGAAGUAGGAGAUAGUACCCGUUUAAAAAGCCACGGCUAACUACGUGCCAGCAGCCGCGGUAAUACGUAGGUGGCGAGCGUUGUCCGGAAUUACUGGGCGUAAAGGGUGCGUAGGCGGCCUGGUAAGUUGAGCGUGAAAAUUUUUGGGCUCAACCCAAAAGGAGCGUUCAAGACUGCCAGGCUUGAGUGCGGGAGA
This 646-nucleotide ribosomal RNA is filed under the name uncultured bacterium. RNAcentral describes it as "bacterial SSU rRNA". It matches the Rfam family "Bacterial small subunit ribosomal RNA", at positions 29 to 655 of the family's 1533-position model. The record is from RNAcentral.